ACACGCGUGGUGUGCGCGGUUCCACCGCAGCCUGCUCUGCCUCCGGCCGCCGGGGCCCCCAGCCAGGUCUCACUGCUCCCAUCCCAACCGAUGGGCCCCGGCUUCACUCUCCUGCGCCGAGCCCCCUUUCUGCCGGGAAGUUCGUCCCAGAGUCUAAUCUCGGUGCCUUCCAGCUGCACCACAGAGGCGGGGUCGGAGUAGGAGGUGGCCCUGAAAUCGGGAAGCUGGGCGCGCCCACUCCCCAACUAGCUGCCCAAAGCCUUCCACCUGCUCCCUUGAGCGACCCCAAGCUGAGAGACCGAACCCCCGUACCCUAGCCUCGCUCACCACCCCCACCCUCUGGCCUGGGCCGCUUUGACCUGAGGCUCCACCUCACACCCCACCAAGAACACUCAGCCAUAGGAUGGAAAUGAGCUGCAGAGAUGAAGUCUCUCUACUGGCUGGGUCAGCAAAGAGACCCCACGGUUCCUUUUCCGCUUAGAGAGAUCUGAAGUCUGGAUGAGUAAAAGAAAGAUGAAACAGGCACAGAUUUAGACUAAGUAUAUAUUUUAAUUUCUACAAGGUCCCCCUUUCAAGUUUUAGGAACAUUUAAAUGAAGUGUAUACAAAUUAGACAUUGCCGAUAUGUACAAAAGUAUUUUCUACAGGUUUUGAACAAUACCAGCUAUAUCAUGUUUCAUUUGCAGUAAACAAGACAUUACAAAAACAGUCCAAUAAUACAUUUUCUAUUAAGAAGCACAAUAUACAACAUAAUUAAAUUUUAUUAAAAAAUAACUUAAAAUACAGAACAAUCCCCUCUAGGCAGAAAAGCUAUUUUUGUAGUUCAUUCAGUAAACACACACUUGAAUGCGGUGGCUGAGGGCUGUUCUUUUCCAUGAAGGAAACAAUUGAGGCUUCUAGGGCCCACCUUUUUGGGAUGAAACUUCCCCAUAGUGGGCAGUUAUUGUCUGGGUUAGGUGGGGUUCUAGAACAGCCUGCCCCCACCCGCACCCCCGCUUCCACCCCCAUCCCAGGACCCUGCACCUAUGCAGCCACUCCUGUGAUUAUGCUGUGUUCUAUGGCAGAGCGGACAUGAAAAUAGGGAGACCUGAUGAGUGGGCUUGAUCUAAUCACAUGAACCUUAAAAAUGAUGAGGAAGCCAGAGGAAUGGGAAGUAUAAUAAGCCACUGAGGGUUUGAAGAUGGAGGGGAACGGUUAAGAAGAGUGCGAGCAGCCUUCAGGAGAUGAGGGAGAAACCUCUGGCUGACAACCAACAAGAAACCAAAUGAACUUGGGAGUAGAUUCUUCCCAAGUCUCCAUAAAGGAAUGCUGCCCUGCUGACGCUUGAUCUCAGCCUCGUGAGAGAGACGCUGAGCAGAGAAUCCAGCCAUACUGUGCCAGACUCACAAGCUACAGAACUGUGAGCUAAGAAAUGGGUGUUGUUCUAAGCUGCUAAGCAUGGGGUAAUUUGUUACAUGGCAAGAGAAAACCAGUAUUGUCCAAGGGUAACUUUUCUUAACCUAGUUAGAUUUGGCAAUUUCUGUUUGAGUUCUGAAUGUAGUUUUUUUUCCCACGGAGUAUUACAGGCAACUUUUGGAAAACCCUUCACAUGAAUCACGUAUUGUUCUGCAUUCACUAGGAAGUAGGUCUAGUUGACUUGGGUCCUUUUUUCCUAAUGUAUUCUUGUCUAUCAACCUGGCGAACAGCUGACCAUUUAACCCUGUUUAUGAACCUUUUAUGGGUGAUGGUUUUAAAAUAUCCAAGGUCACCCCUCCACCCAUCAAGGGCUGUCAGAUCCCUCCAACUGAGGGCUCUUUCCCGCUUCUCAAGUACCCCAAGCAAGGCCUGGGUAGGGUGUGAAUUCCACAUCAAACAUCCAAUAUGAAUUUCUUCUGCAUAACUGGCUUAAACUGGCACUAAGGUGAUUAAGUACACUUGGGG
Lutra lutra (Eurasian river otter) is the source of this 1919-nucleotide long non-coding RNA. RefSeq lists it as uncharacterized. The record is from RefSeq and is a predicted model, not a curated record. Lineage: Eukaryota; Metazoa; Chordata; Mammalia; Carnivora; Mustelidae. The transcript is spliced from 2 exons.